Molecule: ribosomal RNA, 253 nt
Filed under: uncultured bacterium
Lineage: Bacteria
Description: partial 16S ribosomal RNA
Rfam family: Bacterial small subunit ribosomal RNA
Source: RNAcentral
UACAGAGGUCCCAAGCGUUGUUCGGAUUCACUGGGCGUAAAGGGUGCGUAGGUGGUGAGGUAAGUCGGAUGUGAAAUCUCCGGGCUCAACCCGGAAAUGGCAUUGGAAACUACCUUGCUUGAGGAUUUGAGGGGGGAUUGGAAUACUUGGUGUAGCAGUGAAAUGCGUAGAUAUCAAGUGGAACACCAGUGGCGAAGGCGAAUUCCUGGAAAAUACCUGACACUGAGGCACGAAAGCUAGGGGAGCAAACAGG